This 165-nucleotide ribosomal RNA is filed under the name Triticum aestivum (bread wheat). RNAcentral describes it as "partial small subunit ribosomal RNA". Lineage: Eukaryota; Viridiplantae; Streptophyta; Magnoliopsida; Poales; Poaceae. The record is from RNAcentral.
GUCAGUUCGUUGGAUUGGUCUGCCAAUGAGGAAUCGACAGGGAUUUCUAGAUAUAGUACUCAAAAGAAUCGCCACAAUACACCCGGACAAUUAGAAUUCAAAAAAUCCGAGAUGCGAGGGAAAAACUUUUGUUUCACAUUUCCGGAAAGACCACCUAUUUGUUAG